Long non-coding RNA from Panicum virgatum (switchgrass), 1013 nucleotides. RefSeq lists it as uncharacterized. The transcript has 3 exons. NCBI's taxonomy places the organism in Eukaryota, Viridiplantae, Streptophyta, Magnoliopsida, Poales, Poaceae. The record is from RefSeq and is a predicted model, not a curated record.
CGUUCCCGCCGUUGCCACCUCUCUUCCCCUCCAAUCCCGCCGCCGCACUAGGGUUCCUGCUACCCCUCGACGUCCGCGCCGCCCCUCUUUAAAUAUGAUAGCCGCGCCGCCCCCUCUCUCUUUCUGCACGUGCAAGCCUCAUCAGGCGCCGCGCGCUCCCAAAACCCUAGCCGCCGGGCCGCCAUUGGAGCCGACCUCCAAGCCGCCCGCGCCGCCGCCGCCAUCCGCAGUCCACGCCAAGAUUCAAUGCCAAAGAACACCGGGACGACCACCAAGACCUCGGAAGGAACGCCUCCGGCGGCUCUUUGUCGUCCACCGUCACUCCUGGCGUCGUGCUCGCAUCGCCGAACUCCGCCGCCCAAGCCUCACCGACGAGGGUCGCCUUCCUGCCGUCUUGAAUCGUCGCGAGCCGUCCUGAUGAAGCCUGGAAAAGCACCGGCUGCGAAGAAGAUCGUCGGGGGCGUCAAGAAGGUGUCCUCCUUGCCUGCGGAGAAGGAGCGCCCUUUCCAAUUCAGAAAAGGACGAUGUGGGGAUUCGAGUUCCAGCUCCAACGAUGACGUGUUAGAAGAAUAGUUUGUUCCGGGGCCAGUCGUUCAACAACUGCAGAUCGAGGUGCUCCAAGAGCGAUGCCACAAAAGGGGAGAUCAAGAACCUCCAAAAGAGGGUGGUGUCUAAGAAGAUCAAGGAUCUCAAAAAAAAUGUGGAUGCCAGCAUUGCCAAGAUUUUGCAGCCUUAGAAGUCAUGCCUAGUUUAAUUUAGUUCCCUUGUGCCUACAUUCAUGCAGUUUUUGUAUAAUGUGCCCAGACUUGUAUGGAUUCUCCUUUUAUUACUUUUAAUGUUACUAUGCAUUUUCCAAACUAUAUACACGCCCAUGUUGUUACCUGGCCCUUGGUCAGCUAGGUAGGUUAGCUUUGGUAAACCAUGCCUAUCAUCAUUUUUUUUUUCUUGAAUGUUGCCUACAUUUUCAUGUUGUAUAACAUGCACUAGUCAUUAUCUGUUGAAUGUUGGCAAUA